Engraulis encrasicolus (European anchovy) is the source of this 393-nucleotide long non-coding RNA. RefSeq lists it as uncharacterized. The transcript has 2 exons. Lineage: Eukaryota; Metazoa; Chordata; Actinopteri; Clupeiformes; Engraulidae. The record is from RefSeq and is a predicted model, not a curated record.
UGGAGGUGAAGGUGGAGAUCCCCCGUGCCAGCAUGCGCAUCAGCUCUCAGCAUCCUCACACAGUUGUGGUCCCGCAUAUAUGCCGGACAGCUUCCACACAAGCUCGCACCACAACACACAAACCUCAAUCUGGAGUAAUGACAUUACCACAUGGGGAUUUCUAUUCUACCCACCCAAACAUUCAGCCAGACGUCUGGGUGUCACAUCCCAUCCGCAUCUGACGUCGACCAUUGUGGACGUUGAAACAUUGUGUUAAAAAUGGGACGAAGCCUUCACGUCUACUCCUGUUAUGGAUGUUGAAACAUGGUGUUAAAAAUGGCAAGAGGUGGUGGUUAACUUUUAAUUACUGCUCAGAUGCUUUUAUCAUUAAAGUUUAUACUGUGAUCACUUCAA